CCUACGGGGGGCAGCAGUGGGGAAUAUUGCACAAUGGGGGGAACCCUGAUGCAGCGACGCCGCGUGGGUGAAGGAGUAUUUCGGUAUGUAAAGCCCUAUCAGCAGGGAAGAACAAUGACGGUACCUGCCUAAGAAGCACCGGCUAAAUACGUGCCAGCAGCCGCGGUAAUACGUAUGGUGCAAGCGUUAUCCGGAUUUACUGGGUGGAAAGGGAGCGCAGGCGGCGCGUUAAGCCUGGUGUGAAAGCCCGCGGCCCAACCGCGGGACUGCAUUGGGAACUGGCGCGCUGGAGUGCCGGAGGGGUAGGCGGAAGUCCUAGUGUAGCGGUGAAAUGCGUAGAUAUUAGGAGGAACACCAGUGGCGAAGGCGGCCUACUGGACGGUGACUGACGCUGAGGCUCGAAAGCGUGGGGAGCAAACAGGAUUAGAUACCCGUGUAGUC
Molecule: ribosomal RNA, 441 nt
Filed under: uncultured bacterium
Lineage: Bacteria
Description: partial 16S ribosomal RNA
Rfam family: Bacterial small subunit ribosomal RNA
Source: RNAcentral